This 468-nucleotide ribosomal RNA is filed under the name uncultured bacterium. Its description in RNAcentral is "partial 16S ribosomal RNA". It matches the Rfam family "Bacterial small subunit ribosomal RNA", at positions 28 to 507 of the family's 1533-position model. The record is from RNAcentral.
GACGAACGCUGGCGGCGUGCUUAACACAUGCAAGUCGAACGGAAAGGCCCUGCUUUUGUGGGGUGCUCGAGUGGCGAACGGGUGAGUAACACGUGAGUAACCUGCCCUUGACUUUGGGAUAACUUCAGGAAACUGGGGCUAAUACCGGAUAGGAGCUCCUGCUGCAUGGUGGGGGUUGGAAAGUUUCGGCGGUUGGGGAUGGACUCGCGGCUUAUCAGCUUGUUGGUGGGGUAGUGGCUUACCAAGGCUUUGACGGGUAGCCGGCCUGAGAGGGUGACCGGCCACAUUGGGACUGAGAUACGGCCCAGACUCCUACGGGAGGCAGCAGUGGGGAAUAUUGCACAAUGGGCGGAAGCCUGAUGCAGCAACGCCGCGUGCGGGAUGACGGCCUUCGGGUUGUAAACCGCUUUCGCCUGUGACGAAGUGUGAGUGACGGUAAUAGGUAAAGAAGCACCGGCUAACUACGUG